AUGGGCCGCGGCCGUGCCAGGGGGCGCCCUCCGACCCCCUCCGACUCCUCAUCGUCGGAGGAGGAGCUCCUGCUGCCGGUCGGCGUGGAGGAGGAUGAGGACGAGGCGGACGAUGAGUCGGGGGACGACGACGAGUUCGUACUACUGCCGGUCGGCGCGGAGGUGGAGGUGCGCAGCGAUGACCCUGGCUUCGCCGGCUCCUUCUACGAGGCCACCGUCGCCGGCCACCUGCUCACCGCCGGCCGCCGCGGGCGCUACACGGUGGCCUACACCACGCUCCUGGCCGACGACGGGGACGACGAGCCGCUCACGGAGACCGCGGCCGCCGGCAACGUGCGGCCGCGUCCACCACCGCCCGAGGCGGGGAGGGAGUUCGCGGUCCACGAGAUGGUGGAGGCGUUCCACAACGACGGGUGGUGGGCCGGCGUGGUCUCCGCCGUCCUCCCGCGGCCGGUUAUCGACGGAGAUCGCCGGCAGCCGAGGGCGUACGUGGUCACGUUCCCCACGUCGCGGGAGACGCUGGAGUUCGGGGAGGCGGAUCUGCGGCCGCACCGCGUGUUCGAGGGCGGCCGGUGGGUCCCGGCUGCAGAGGUGGACAAUGGAAGUCCUUUGUUCGGUGAGGGAAACCAAGUUGAAGUGAGUGGAAAAUCCUUCGGUGCAUUCUGGAGUCCAGCUACUGUUCUUAAAGUGAUUGGUGCUACAAAUUUUCUAGUAGAGUACAUGCAUAUUGAAAAUGACGGGGAAUUGGCCACUGGGAUUGUCGAUUCUCAAGAUAUUCGGCCAGCACGCGCCAUCACCCGUAUGGACUCCAAGUACAGAUUUUCUCCUUCUUCUCAUGUCGAGGUCCAUCAUGAAGAUAGUUGGUGGCCUGGUGUUAUUGUUAAGGUUUUAGGUAGUGGAAUCAACAAGAAGUAUGUGGUGAAAUUGAAGAAUCACGAGACAGACAUGGAAGACGUGCAACCUGUGGAUGUUUUGACGGUUCAAAAUACGCAACUAAGGCCACGGUUUGACUGGGACGGUAAAAAAUGGGUACGCUGCGUGAAAGAGCCUUCACACCAAAAUUAUGUCCAUGAAAUGCAUCCAUGUCAGAAAUCUUCUCGAAAAAGGCUAGUUUCCGCCUUGUAUGAUGACUCUGAUAAAAUCAGUAAUGAACGUGAUUCUCAUCGUGACAAAAAGUUGAAGAAUGAAGAUGUGAUAUCAGGAAAAAAAGCUCCUCUUUCUCUGUCCAUUUGCAAUGAGAACAAUGAAAUUACUCAUAAUCAACGGAAUGCAGUAUUGGCAUUACGGUCUGAGCUAUCACUUCCUUCACUGCCACCAAUGGCAGCACUUAACCAGCUGAGUUCAUCUUCACUUGCUCCAAGCUGUCAUCUGGAACAAUCAUCUUCUCAGAUGAUUGUCAUACCAUCUACGCCAGAAAGUUGGCAGUUACGGGCUUUGUUGUUUGCAGCGUUUGGACAACCAACAGCUGACUCACAGGACCAACUAUUAGGUUCAGAAGAGGGUAGUGGAAUAGAUGAUCUUCAGCAAGGAGGCUAUGUUGGUGAAACUAGUGUUGAGCAGGAUACUGGUGGAGAAUUAUGUCAGAGGUAUUUGGUUAUGGCUGAUAAUGCCAACGUUCCUUUGUUGCCUUCAGCAGAGAGUUGUGAUGCUAAUUUGCACGACAACCGGCUCUCCAAGGACAACACGGCAGCUGCGAUGGAGUGUGUUACUUCUAAUGCUGCUCCAGCAGAGGACUUGUCUCUCAUACCUGUAGCUACUUUAGAUCGUGCUGUACCUAAUCUGUUGCCAGUAGAGUGGGAUUUGGAGGUCAAUAUAACGGAAGAUAUGGAUGAGGAGAACCAUCAAGGGAAUGUGGUUGGGUUAGCCAGCAAUGGGCAUCAUAAUCAGUAUACUAGUGUUGACUGCCCAUUCUCAGCCACAUCUUUAACCGCACUCGAGGAUGACAUGAUUACCACUGAAAGUCCAAGCAGGAAGUUCUUAUGCAGUAGCCAAUCCACCGAGAAGUCGACAGUAACUCGGCUGUCUUCUAUUGGUAUGAGCAAUUAUAGUGUGACAGAACCUUUCGAUGAUAGCUUGGCCACAACAAAUGAUUCUGUCUUUCCCUUGUCGUCGGAAUCUGUAGCUGUGCAUGAGAGUACCAUGGACACGAAUGGCCGGCUUUCAGGAUCCUUGACAAUCCAGCAUCUUCCAUUUGUGAAGACCUCUCCAAUGUGGGCACAUCUUGAGGCACUGGAAAUAUUCAGGAAAGCGCCGCAGCGGCCACAUUUUCGUCAGUUCGAGCAGUAUUGUCCAGAGCUCCGCGAAGGGAUGGCAUUAGGUUUGAUGCACUCCUUUGCCAACUUAGCAGAAAGCAUCAACAUGCUGGAUGUUCAGGGUGACAAAGAAGUACUCGAACAGAAGAUGAAGAGCCUUGCUUUGCUCGAGGAGAAUGGUUUCGACGUCACGUGCCUGAGAUCACGAGUGGAAACUUUACUUGCCACAGAUAAUACUCGCGUCGAAAAGCUGGAGGAGAAGAUUGCUCGCAUAGAAACCUACGACCAAGAACUCGGCAUGCAAGUUCGCGCGCUAGCUAUGACCGUCCAUCGUCUCGAACUGCAUGCGUAUCUCAUGCGCAACAUGGUGCGGUCCGCCAUCAAGCGGAAGAUGAGCAAUGCUGUGAAGAUCUCAAGACUCAAGGCCGAAGCAAACGAUCUUGAGAGAUCAUAUCUUUCCAACGCCGCGCCACGGUGA
RNAcentral lists this ribosomal RNA (2730 nucleotides) under Triticum aestivum (bread wheat). RNAcentral's name for it is "partial small subunit ribosomal RNA". Lineage: Eukaryota; Viridiplantae; Streptophyta; Magnoliopsida; Poales; Poaceae. The record is from RNAcentral.